This 1375-nucleotide long non-coding RNA is filed under the name Nicotiana benthamiana. Its description in RNAcentral is "long non-coding RNA (NBEN_LNC041620)". The record is from RNAcentral. Lineage: Eukaryota; Viridiplantae; Streptophyta; Magnoliopsida; Solanales; Solanaceae.
CAAACCUAAUUUCUUUAUUGUUGUACUACUUCCUUUUCUAUAGAGGCACACUUCCUUUUAAUCCAACGCAGACAGAAAAGAGAAAAAAAAUCAGAAAAACUACAAAUAGUUAAAAUUUUAACAAUAUCAUUGUUCAAUUGAACUUUUGGUCUGUGAUUCCUGAAGUCAUUAAUUUAUGAAAUAAUUUCUGAUUCAUUUGGUUGAAACCGGACUUAAUUCUGUCUUGUGAAGAGUUUGGUUUGAAAUUCUACUUUUCCAUUGAGCUUUUGAAUUGAUUUCACUUUUGAUUGAUGAAUCUGGGCUAACUUCUGCUGCUGCUCAUUGCUAAACCUUCAUUUUCUUUUGGUUUUAUUUGUUCAAUACCAGGUACAUCUUUGAACCUUUUGCCAAUUUGGAAAUCUGAACUUGAAGCUCUUUCGAAUAUGUAGCUCCUAAAUCAUCAAAUGCAUAUGCAUUAAUGUGUGCCUCAUGGUGCAUUUUCCCAGGAUUCAUUGAAAUCAUGUCUAUUUAAAUAUGUAUUGAACAUGUUUUUAGAUCUUAAGUUUCGUUUACUAUUUUCAUUUAGCUUGAUUGAUUGUUUUUGUGAUGAGGUUAAAACUGUUACAAGAUAGUUCUUGUGGAGAUUGAAAAGUUUGUUGUAUUAGAAUGUUGCUCUUACUAGUUCAAGAUGUCUAGUGAGUGCAAUGCUAUAGAUAAUUGGUCCAUAGUUCUUUUUUAACCUAAAUUAGAGAUUGGUUUGGACAUCUGAACAGAUUUAAUACAUGAUGUUGCAAUUCUGAUGUAUGAUUUGAUUAGCUUAUGGUUCUAGAGCAAAUUCAUUAAAUGUGUAAGCAUUCAGGGAGCUUAUGCAAUAUUUCUGACUUUUAAAGGUGCAAAAGAGGUUAUGUGUUCAUAAGCAGGAAAUGAAUUGGAGUGAUAAUAUAUAUUUUUAUUUAUUUGACAUCUCUUUCUUUGCUUUUAUUUUUGUUUUUAUUGAAAUAGCUACUGCAUAGUGAUAGGGUUUAGCAGUUUUAUUGCUGAGUGCAAAUAUUACUUUGGGUGUGUGUAUAGACUCAACAUUGAAGUCUGUCCACCAGCUUUGGCUUUGGGUAAGUGUGGGGUUCUUUGAGCUUUGGACGUUUGGGCAUGUACAAGGAAGAACAAUGUGUCAGUGCUAUCUGGUCUUGUUGCUUGAGCCCAUUAGCGUAAUUAUUUGCAUUCCUCAACAGACUUGGCUGAAUCACAUGAGAAAUUAAAAUCUAGAAUUUCGGCCAAUCAAUCUGUAUUCACAUAGCUAAAACUUAAAUAGUUAGAAAGGCUAAUCCAAACUCUUGUUAUAUAGCUUUGAUUGAUUUUGUAAUUAAUUGAUUCUAUAUAAAGUAUUUGAUUCCCGGAA